CUACGGGGCGCUCCAGUGAGGAAUAUUGCACAAUGGGGGGAACCCUGAUGCAGCAACGCCGCGUGGAGGAUGACGCAUUUCGGUGUGUAAACUCCCUUUAUAUGUCAAGAAAAUGACGGUAGCAUAUGAAUAAGCACCGGCUAACUCCGUGCCAGCAGCCGCGGUAAUACGGAGGGUGCAAGCGUUACUCGGAAUCACUGGGCGUAAAGGACGCGUAGGCGGGUUGGAAAGUCAGGUGUGAAAUCCUACAGCUUAACUGUAGAACUGCACUUGAAACUUCUAAGCUAGAGUAUGGGAGGGGGAGAUGGAAUUAGUGGUGUAUGGGUAAAAUCCGUAGAUAUCACUAGGAAUACCUAAAGCGAAGGCGAUCUCCUGGAACAUUACUGACGCUAAGGCGUGAAAGCGUGGGGAGCAAACAGGAUUAGAUACCCUCGUAGUC
This 439-nucleotide ribosomal RNA is filed under the name uncultured bacterium. RNAcentral's name for it is "partial 16S ribosomal RNA". It matches the Rfam family "Bacterial small subunit ribosomal RNA", at positions 339 to 795 of the family's 1533-position model. The record is from RNAcentral.